Molecule: ribosomal RNA, 468 nt
Filed under: uncultured bacterium
Lineage: Bacteria
Description: partial 16S ribosomal RNA
Rfam family: Bacterial small subunit ribosomal RNA
Source: RNAcentral
GAUGAACGCUGGCGGCGUGCUUAACACAUGCAAGUCGAACCGAAAGGCCCAAGCUUGCUUGGGUACUCGAGUGGCGAACGGGUGAGUAACACGUGGGUGAUCUGCCCUGCACUUCGGGAUAAGCCUGGGAAACUGGGUCUAAUACCGGAUAGGACGAUGGUUUGGAUGCCAUUGUGGAAAGUUUUUUCGGUGUGGGAUGAGCUCGCGGCCUAUCAGCUUGUUGGUGGGGUAAUGGCCUACCAAGGCGUCGACGGGUAGCCGGCCUGAGAGGGUGUACGGCCACAUUGGGACUGAGAUACGGCCCAGACUCCUACGGGAGGCAGCAGUGGGGAAUAUUGCACAAUGGGCGCAAGCCUGAUGCAGCGACGCCGCGUGGGGGAUGACGGCCUUCGGGUUGUAAACUCCUUUCGCUAGGGACGAAGCGUUUUUGUGACGGUACCUGGAGAAGAAGCACCGGCUAACUACGUG